GACGAACGCUGGCGGCGUGCCUAAUACAUGCAAGUCGAGCGGACUUUCAAGAAGCUUGCUUUUUGAAAGUUAGCGGCGGACGGGUGAGUAACACGUGGGCAACCUGCCUGCAAGACGGGGAUAACUCCGGGAAACCGGGGCUAAUACCGGAUAAUAUCUUCCUUCGCAUGAAGGAAGGUUGAAAGGCGGCGCAAGCUGCCGCUUGCAGAUGGGCCCGCGGCGCAUUAGCUAGUUGGGGAGGUAACGGCUCACCAAGGCGACGAUGCGUAGCCGCCCUGACAGGGUGAUCGGCCACACUGGGACGGAGACACGGCCCAGACUCCUACGGGAGGCAGCAGUAGGGAAUCUUCCGCAAUGGACGAAAGUCGGACGGAGCAACGCCGCGUGAGCGAAGAAGGUCUUCGGAUCGUAAAGCUCUGUUGUCAGGGAAGAACAAGUACCGUUCGAACAGGGCGGUACCUUGACGGUACCUGACCAGAAAGCCACGGCUAACUACGUG
This 499-nucleotide ribosomal RNA is filed under the name uncultured bacterium. RNAcentral describes it as "partial 16S ribosomal RNA". It matches the Rfam family "Bacterial small subunit ribosomal RNA", at positions 28 to 507 of the family's 1533-position model. The record is from RNAcentral.